UGCUCAGCCAGGAUUGACUCCCUCAGGGCUCAUUCUGCAGUCACAUGGCUGCAAGCGUCCAAUCUGCGCGAUGCAUCCAGCCCCUCCCUUUUGGCUUUAAAUUCCUAAUCCCACUGCUGGAUCCUCCCCACAAAAAGCAGCCAGCCACUUUGGGAAUACCAAGUAAACCCAAAUCAGGACCCAGUAAUUCCAGUCCAACCAUCCCAAACGAUUUUUUUAAGUGAUAAUAUGGUCAACCAAGGCCAGGAUGGGCGGGCAUGCUGACCUGCUCUUAGGCAGCAUUACCACGGUAACAGAUCCAGUGGGUUUUAGAAGAACAUCCCAGUUUGUGUGGUCAUGAUCCCGGGUGGGUGAAGAUGCACAGCGGAACAUCUUUUUGUGUGCAGAGGAAACGGCAGUCACAGGUGGCUUCACAGGUGGCAGUCACAGGUGGCUUCACAGGUGGCGCCGACACUGAUCCUGGGCAGGAAGAUGUGGCAAGGUGGUCUGGGACAGAAACGGCACGUCACAGAAACCCAGACAGACGCAGGAAGUACCGGUGACUCGUUAGAGGAAAUUCAUUAGAUACUAAAAUAAAUUACAAUUCUGCUGAACGGUUCUAUGCUCCAUCCAUGGGAUCCAAAGAAAAUACAAAAA
Brienomyrus brachyistius is the source of this 636-nucleotide long non-coding RNA. RefSeq lists it as uncharacterized. The transcript has 2 exons. Lineage: Eukaryota; Metazoa; Chordata; Actinopteri; Osteoglossiformes; Mormyridae. The record is from RefSeq and is a predicted model, not a curated record.